Pimephales promelas (fathead minnow) is the source of this 2230-nucleotide non-coding RNA. NCBI's taxonomy places the organism in Eukaryota, Metazoa, Chordata, Actinopteri, Cypriniformes, Leuciscidae. The record is from RefSeq and is a predicted model, not a curated record.
GGGAGCAACGGUUGCGGACAAGGCCGGUGCCGGUUGGCAGGAUAGGGACGGAAACGGGACUCGAUAUGAUUAAACAUAAUGCUGCCCACUGGAACAAUGCGGAUGCACUAGUGACACUAAUUCGCAGCAUGAUUGGCCUUCAUGUCUACUGGGUGACGUGAGUAUACUACCUUCCAAAGUUAGCCGGUUUUGUCGUCAAGUGCGCUGGUCGUUCGACCGAAUUACCAGCGUGCAGGUAGUAUGGGUGACGGGCAUCCUUAACAAUCCGGAAAGGUGAGACCCCUUGUAUCGUACCAGGCGACGAUACAUGCUCAAUGGCGUCUCGCCGUGUCGCUAGCCAAAUGCCUCGUCAUCUAAUUAGUGACGCGCAUGAAUGGAUGAACGAGAUUCCCACUGUCCCUACCUGCUAUCUAGCGAAACCACAGCCAAGGGAACGGGCUUGGCAGAAUCAGCGGGGAAAGAAGACCCUGUUGAGAUUUACCCCAAAAUGUUCGUGAAGCUGAAGAAAGCUGGAGGUGGAGUGUUGCAUAUGGGCUGCACCCAUGGUGUUGUAUACCAUAACAGGGAAAUAAAAAUAUUAACACAACUUUUCAACAUUAGGACAAAAUCUCACAUCUCUAUUCUGUCGAGAAGAGAGACUCCACUGUCAUCGCAAAAAUCUCUCACUACACCUCAUUGGAACUACGUGACCUGAAAAGCGUUUGCCCACCUGAUCUCUUGAAAGACACCGGUAUUUUGAUGCCAUGGCUAACUGAUAAUGUGAGUACCAAUUAUUUUGACAAAUAUUUGUUUAAUAUUCUUGAUAAUAUUUUUAGUGAACUUCUUAUCUAAAAUGUAAUGUUUAACUUUUAAGACAUGUACAGUAGAUAUUGAAACUCACAUCAUAAUUUUCCUCAAAUUUAUUUUCGUAUUGCGCUUUAAAGGCAGUAAAUUGUAGGGUUGCACAAAUUGCAGCAGAGACCCAGAAUGUAAGUAAUCACUUGAGAACAUAAACUUUUUUUCACACUACUAUUCAGAAACGUAAUUAAGUAUUCCUAUUGUGCGAUUUAUUCAACAUACAGGUUAUGUGACAGAUGUAGCGCACUUCCUUUAUACAAUAUACAUGUAAUUUUGUUCUCUCUUUAGUGUAUAGCCUUGACGACUGACACAUUCAUUUUGUGGCAUAGAGACUGGCUUGCUUCAAAAACAGUUUCAGAUUCUCAUUUGAAAAUUCUUGAGGUACUGUACAAUUUGCAAAAUAAAUAUAUAUUAAGCUCUCCUGCAUGUUUAUACAUGUAAUGGCACAGUAUGUGUUUCCUAUUUCUUUCAUUACAGUAUGAUGCACAGAAAAUUCUGUUUCCAAGAAUUGUUGGUGGCCAGACACCAGAGAGAGGAUGCCACUUCAUUCUUUGGCAAGCUUUAUGGAAAAGAACAUGUGACAUAUUACAUGCAUGGAUUGGUUUGGUGCACCUCCUCAGACAAGAUGCCAAAAAGUAUGCUGUCCUUGAUAACAUAUCAUGCUUCUCAUUUGAAAACUUCCUUGGCCUGGGUGUCUUAAUAAACAAUAGACAGUCAUCGCUCAGUUAUUGGCCCUUGGACUCACCUGGCACCUCUUGUACAGCAUGAAGUUUUCUGCUAUGAAGAUUUACAGAGACUCCAGAAUGAAAAGCAAUGCACCAGCAGCUUCAGAUGACAGCGGCUCACUUCGAGAGCAGGUGAAGCAAGAUGGGACAAUGUUGAAGAUGUUUGCUCACACUGGGCAAUCAGGUGCAGAUCAGACCCCAAUGCUGCGACGUCUUGGGGUGUACUCACACUAGGCACACCGAGUACGAUUGUCCCCCCUCCCCACUCCCCCUCUGGCCUGCACUCACAUAGGGUUUCAGCAUUCGUGCCGGAGCACGCUUACGUCAUCAUUAUGGUGCGACGGUUUCCAUAGGUUUCGGGAUAAACAAGAAGAGCGGCGCUCUCUGAACACUAUGGAGUCCAUCGCUCUGUUUUCUUUGUGGAUAAUUUUCUGUCGUUUGGUCCACAGCCCUCUCACAGCCUGUUGUUAAACAGAUGUGUCGCCUUUGUGGCGCGAAAAUUUUCACGUAAUCGUGCUGCUCGUAUGAGGAGGUUUGCAAGGUACCAGCUGAAGUGCAGAAAGGACUUUGCAGCUUUGAUUACGGACUACAGUUCCUAAAACCAUGACUUCACGCGUCCUGUUCCGUGCCCGAGUCCAACUGAACCGUGCUCUGGCCCACCUCUUCCA